AGAGUUUGAUCCUGGCUCAGAUUGAACGCUGGCGGAAUGCUUUACACAUGCAAGUCGAACGGCAGCACGGGGGCAACCCUGGUGGCGAGUGGCGAACGGGUGAGUAAUGUAUCGGAACGUGCCCAGUCGUGGGGGAUAACUAUCCGAAAGGAUAGCUAAUACCGCAUACGACCUGAGGGUGAAAGCGGGGGACCCCAAGGGUAACUGAGGGGCCUCGCGCGAUUGGAGCGGCCGAUAUCGGAUUAGCUAGUUGGUGGGGUAAAGGCUCACCAAGGCGACGAUCCGUAGCGGGUCUGAGAGGACGACCCGCCACACUGGAACUGAGACACGGUCCAGACUCCUACGGGAGGCAGCAGUGGGGAAUUUUGGACAAUGGGCGCAAGCCUGAUCCAGCCAUUCCGCGUGAGUGAAGAAGGCCUUCGGGUUGUAAAGCUCUUUCAGUGGGAACGAAACGGUCGAUCCUAAUACGGUCGGCUAAUGACGGUACCUGCAGAAGAAGCACCGGCUAACUACGUGCCAGCAGCCGCGGUAAUACGUAGGGUGCGAGCGUUAAUCGGAAUUACUGGGCGUAAAGCGUGCGCAGGCGGUGACAUAAGACAGAUGUGAAAUCCCCGGGCUCAACCUGGGAACUGCGUUUGUGACUGUGUCGCUCGAGUGUAGCAGAGGGGGGUGGAAUUCCACGUGUAGCAGUGAAAUGCGUAGAGAUGUGGAGGAACACCGAUGGCGAAGGCAGCCCCCUGGGUUAACACUGACGCUCAUGCACGGAAGCGUGGGGAGCAAACAGGAUUAGAUACCCUGGUAG
RNAcentral lists this ribosomal RNA (802 nucleotides) under uncultured bacterium. RNAcentral's name for it is "bacterial SSU rRNA". It matches the Rfam family "Bacterial small subunit ribosomal RNA", at positions 8 to 793 of the family's 1533-position model. The record is from RNAcentral.